UUUUUUUACGAUUCGAAUAUAAAUUAAAAUAUCUUUUCCUUUCCGUUCUUUUCUCAUUACUUCUACAUUUCGUCGCGAGUUAUAUGUUCUAGUAAUUUCGUAGAUUAGUUUUCUUUUAAAAAGACAUGAGUUUCCUAUCUUUAUUCAUAUUUGAAAACGUCAUGUGAGGGAGGGUAAGAAGGGGUCCUGAUCCCAAAUGCCGGGCUUAAAAAAACAAAAUCCC
RNAcentral lists this long non-coding RNA (223 nucleotides) under Mytilus galloprovincialis (Mediterranean mussel). The record is from RNAcentral. Lineage: Eukaryota; Metazoa; Mollusca; Bivalvia; Mytilida; Mytilidae.